AGAGUUUGAUCAUGGCUCAGAACGAACGCUGGCGGCGUGGUUCAGGCAUGCAAGUCGAACGAUCCCGCAAGGGAUAGUGGCAGAAGGGUUAGUAACACGUGGGCAAUCUACCCUCGACUCGGGGAUAACAUUCCGAAAGAAGUGCUAAUACCCGAUGAAAUUACUGGGUCAUAAGAUCCGGUAAUCAAAGGUGGCGCAAGCUGCCGAUUGAGGAGGAGCCCGCGGCCUAUCAGCUAGUUGGUGAGGUAACGGCUCACCAGGGCUUUUGACGGGUAGCUGGUCUAAGAGGACGAUCAGCAACAUUGGGACUGAGACACUGCCCAGACUCCUACGGGAGGCUGCAGUCGAGGAUCUUUAGCAAUGCCCGAAAGGGUGACUAUGCGACGCCGCGUGCAGGAUGAAGGCCUUCGGGUCGUAAACUGCUGUCAGGGGGGAAGAAUGCUCGGGUGUUAACAGCAUCAGAGUUUGACAUCACUCCCAAAGGAAGCCACGGCUAACUCUGUGCCAGCAGCCGCGGUAAGACAGAGGUGGCAAGCGUUGUUCGGAUUUAUUGGGUGUAAAGGGCAGGUAGGUGGCUGUAUAAGUCCGAUGUGAAAUCCCACGGCUCAACCGUGGAACUGCGUUGGAUACUGUAUGGCUUGAGUAUCGGAGAGGUAAGGGGAAUUCUCGGUGUAAGGGUGAAAUCUGUAGAUAUCGAGAGGAACACCAAUGGCGAAGGCACCUUACUGGCCGAUUACUGACACUGAGCUGCGAAAGCAAGGG
This 762-nucleotide ribosomal RNA is filed under the name uncultured bacterium. Its description in RNAcentral is "bacterial SSU rRNA". It matches the Rfam family "Bacterial small subunit ribosomal RNA", at positions 8 to 765 of the family's 1533-position model. The record is from RNAcentral.